UACGUAGGGGCCUAGCGUUGUCCGGAUUUAUUGGGCGUAAAGAGCUCGUAGGCGGUUCGGCAAGUCGGAUGUGAAAUCUCCACGCUUAACGUGGAGGGGCCAUUCGAAACUGCCGUGACUCGAGUCCGGUAGGGGAGUGUGGAAUUCCUAGUGUAGCGGUGAAAUGCGCAGAUAUCAGGAGGAACACCGAUGGCGAAGGCAGCUCGCUGGGACGGUACUGACGCUGAGACGCGAAAGCGUGGGGAGCAAACAGG
Molecule: ribosomal RNA, 254 nt
Filed under: uncultured bacterium
Lineage: Bacteria
Description: partial 16S ribosomal RNA
Rfam family: Bacterial small subunit ribosomal RNA
Source: RNAcentral